RNAcentral lists this ribosomal RNA (1548 nucleotides) under human oral metagenome. Its description in RNAcentral is "bacterial LSU rRNA". It matches the Rfam family "Bacterial large subunit ribosomal RNA", at positions 1116 to 2317 of the family's 2925-position model. The record is from RNAcentral.
CCAUUCAUUUAAAGAGUGCGUAACAGCUCACUAGUCAAGAGAUCUUGCGUGGAAAAUGUAACGGGGCUAAAACGUUAUACCGAAGAUAUGGAUUACACGCUAAGUACAAAGUUAAAGUUGUGUUACAAUCAAUUUAUGGAAAAUGAGAUUUACGUAGGUAGCGUUUAUAAACACUAUAAAGGCAAUAAGUAUGUUGUUGUAAGUAUAGCUGUUCAUACUGAGACGCUUGAAGAGCUUGUAGUUUAUCGAGCCAUUUAUGGCGACGGAGAAUUAUGGGCUAGACCUAAGAAAAUGUUUUUAGAUAAUAUUGAAAAGAACGGAAAGAUCAUUCCAAGGUUUAAAUUGAUUAAAAAACUUUGAUUUUGUUCUUAGUGUGUAGUGGUAGAGGAGCGUUCCUAUCAGCAGUGAAGUCGAAUCGGAAGGUUCGGUGGAGCGGUAGGAAGUGAGAAUGCUGGAAUGAGUAACCAUAAGAGAGGUGAGAAUCCUCUCGGCCGUAAGAGCAAGGUUUCCUGAGCCAUGGUAAUCAUCUCAGGGUUAGUCGGGCCUAAGCCGAGGCGCAGAGCGUAGGCGAUGGACAUCAGGUUAAUAUUCCUGAACCGGUUAAGUUUUGUACACUGUUCACGGGGAAGUAAUCGAAGCGGAUUCAUGGUUUAUCCGUCCAACCGAGCGGGAACGCAAAGGGAGUGAAAGUAACUCUUCGGAGUUGCGAUUUUGGUGAAAGCCCUGGCUAGAAAAGCAGGUGUACGCGUGGACUUAGCCGCCCGUACCGCAAACCAACACAGGUGCUCGAGUCGAGUAGACUCAGGCUUACGAGCGAACCUUCGCUAAGGAACUCGGCAAUACAGCGACCGUAACUUCGGGAUAAGGUCUGCCCCCACUUCGGUGGAUAUCAGCCGCGUUCACUCAGUGAAUAUUAGGUUAAAGAGUACAUUUUUAAUCACAAAACGAAUUUUCUGAGAUAGAGCAAACGAAUUGUUCUUUUGAACGCGAACCUCUGACAUCUAACGAUGUGGGGGCCGCAGCAAAAGAGCCCACGGAACUGUUUAUCAAAAACACAGGUCUCUGCUAACACGAAAGUGGAUGUAUAGGGGCUGACUCCUGCCCAAUGCUGGAAGGUUAAGGGGAGCGCUUCACGGUGCGAACUGAAGCCCUAGUCAAUGGCGGCGGUAACUAUAACCGUCCUAAGGUAGCGAAAUUCCUUGUCAGGUAAGUUCUGACCCGCACGAAUGGAGUAAUCAUGUGGGCACUGUCUCAGCGAAGGACUCGGUGAAAGUGCAUUGGCGGUAAAGAUGCCGUCUGUCCGUACCAGGACGAAAAGACCCCAUGGAGCUUUACUACAGCUUUACAUUGAAUAUGGUUUCAACAUGUGUAGCAUAGGUGGGAGACUUUGAAGCAGAUACGCCAGUAUUUGUGGAGUCACCAAGUGAAAUACCACCCUUGUUGUGAUUGUGUUCUCACGCUGACCGUUAUCCGGUUAGCGGACCGUGUAUGGUGGGUAGUUUAACUGGGGCGGUUGCCUCCUAAAGAGUAGCGGAGGCGUUCAAAGGU